ACUUCAUUAAAUAAGAAUGGAAAGAAAAUUGCUAAUAAUGCCUCUCCUAUAUAUGCUAACUGAAGAACGGUCUUAAAAUAGCAUCUAGCAUUAAACUGUCAUAAAAGUGGAUUAAGUGGUAGUAAUAUUCAAGCGAAUAGAUACACCACCUUAACCUUGUUGAGAGGGCAUUAGUCUACAUGUUAUUUAUUUGUAGAUAAUCUACUGGAGAAGGAAGUAUUAGUCCAGUCUUGUUUUUAAAAUCCCGCUGAUGAGUUACCCCUGCCCAUCCAGAGAGGAAGAAGCAGCAGUAAUGUAAUGGAAAAGGAGAGAUGCAGCUGCCCAGCCUUUCUCCAUCCGUCAGACACAAAAUAUGGACAGUUCACCCUUGGACCAUUUAACUGUCUCUUACCUUUUGUACCAGAGAGGUUUGUUCUGCGCUUGCUGUGAUCCAUGAGACUGCAGCUUGUCUUUAAAGAACUUUUGGAAGGCAUCAGUAAAAGGCACAGUCAGGCAGAAAUCUGAAUGGCUCCAAUCUGAGCUCACUUUGUUUGUGAGCUGAUCAGGAACGUGGUGCCACAUACCGGGGCUGCUGGUUGUUGCCUCACAUAAUGCAGGUAGCACAUGACAGGAGGGCGAACAAUGUUUUCAACCUGUGAUACCUAAGAACAUCUAUAACCCGCGUUGCUUUCUAGGGGGAUUUUUCUAAUUCAGGGACACCAGCUCUAGGCAAGGUUUGUGAAUUCAACAGUGCCUCUCCUAGGCAAGAAUGUGUACGAGCUUGUUUGUGGAACAAGAGCUACAGAUACAGAGAAUACAUCAGACGGAGUAAAAUGUGGCUCUUGUGAGAAAGUUGUGUAAGAGAAGGAAGUAUUGUGGAAGAUUUUUCUCCAUGUAUCCUCAUGGCUGGCAUACAUCCUCAGGGAUGACUCUAAGCUUCCCCAGGGCUUUGCACAGCUUGAUUAGCUGAUCAGCCUCACAGCAGUGUCUGGGGAGGAAUCAGUGGUCUCAGCUGGGCUCUCUGGCUGCUGGUGGGAUGGGGCCCCAGGGCACCAGGGGGUAGGAGGGAAAUUGGUAGAGUGCUGUGGGGGGUAAGAGGAGGCAGGUGCUUCCCAGGGCGACCUGUUCAUUCAGCUGGCUUUGAGCAGCCUACCUCAGAACCAGGCAGAGGCGAGGAGAGCACCAGGGGGCCAGAGCUGACUUCAAUCUCCCUCAGUUUGCCACCUCAACAAAAUAUUUCUGCUUAUUAA
This 1229-nucleotide long non-coding RNA is filed under the name Anas zonorhyncha (Eastern spot-billed duck). RNAcentral's name for it is "lncRNA (ENSAZOG00000004593.1)". Lineage: Eukaryota; Metazoa; Chordata; Aves; Anseriformes; Anatidae. The record is from RNAcentral.